UGGCAAUGACGAUAAAAAGGCCGGACUUACAGCUGCUUUCCAUAUUGUUGGUAGUAGAUUGAUGAUCCACUUCCAAAGGUUAUACUGAGCCAA
Molecule: non-coding RNA, 93 nt
Organism: Daucus carota subsp. sativus
Lineage: Eukaryota; Viridiplantae; Streptophyta; Magnoliopsida; Apiales; Apiaceae
Source: Rfam